RNAcentral lists this transfer RNA (67 nucleotides) under Comaster schlegelii. RNAcentral describes it as "tRNA-Glu". Lineage: Eukaryota; Metazoa; Echinodermata; Crinoidea; Comatulida; Comatulidae. The record is from RNAcentral.
GUUCUUAUAGUUGAAUUUACAACCGUAGCCCUUCACGCAACAAGUUUGAGAUAGCACCUCAAUAAGA